Molecule: ribosomal RNA, 826 nt
Filed under: uncultured bacterium
Lineage: Bacteria
Description: bacterial SSU rRNA
Rfam family: Bacterial small subunit ribosomal RNA
Source: RNAcentral
AGAGUUUGAUCCUGGCUCAGAACGAACGCUGGCGGCGUGCCUAACACAUGCAAGUCGUACGAGAAAAUCCGCUUCGGCGGGUGAGUAGAGUGGCGCACGGGUGAGUAACGCGUGGAUAAUCUGCCUUUAAGCUGGGAAUAACUCACCGAAAGGUGGGCUAAUACCCGAUAAUGCUAUGGGACUUCGGUUUUAUAGCCAAAGAGAGCCUCUACAUGUAAGCCUUCACUUAAAGAUGAGUCCGCGUACCAUUAGCUAGUUGGUAGGGUAAUGGCCUACCAAGGCGACGAUGGUUAGCUGGUCUGAGAGGAUGAUCAGCCACACUGGAACUGAGACACGGUCCAGACUCCUACGGGAGGCAGCAGUGAGGAAUAUUGCGCAAUGGGGGCAACCCUGACGCAGCAACGCCGCGUGAGUGAGGAAGGUCUUCGGAUCGUAAAGCUCUGUCGGGUGGGAAGAAGUGUGCAUAGGUUAAUAGCUUGUGCACUUGACGGUACCGCCAAAGGAAGCACCGGCUAACUCCGUGCCAGCAGCCGCGGUAAUACGGGGGGUGCGAGCGUUGUUCGGAAUCAUUGGGCGUAAAGAGCGUGUAGGCGGCUAGGCAAGUCAGAUGUGAAAUCCCUGGGCUUAACCCAGGAAGUGCAUUUGAAACUGCUUAGCUUGAGUAAGGAAGAGGGAAGUGGAAUUCCUGGUGUAGAGGUGAAAUUCGUAGAUAUCAGGAGGAACACCGGUGGCGAAGGCGACUUCCUGGUCCUAUACUGACGCUGAGACGCGAGAGCGUGGGGAGCAAACAGGAUUAGAUACCCUGGUAGUCCACGCCGUAAACGAU